This 73-nucleotide transfer RNA is filed under the name Ovis aries (sheep). It matches the Rfam family "tRNA". Rfam says of the family: Transfer RNA (tRNA) molecules are approximately 80 nucleotides in length. Their secondary structure includes four short double-helical elements and three loops (D, anti-codon, and T loops). The record is from Rfam by way of RNAcentral. Lineage: Eukaryota; Metazoa; Chordata; Mammalia; Artiodactyla; Bovidae.
UCCCUGGUGGCUCAGACGAUGAAAGAAUCCACCUGCAAUGUGGGAGACCUGGGUUUGAUCCCUGGCUUGGGAA